Molecule: ribosomal RNA, 453 nt
Filed under: uncultured bacterium
Lineage: Bacteria
Description: bacterial SSU rRNA
Rfam family: Bacterial small subunit ribosomal RNA
Source: RNAcentral
AUUGAACGCUGGCGGCAUGCUUUACACAUGCAAGUCGAACGGUAACAGGCCGCAAGGUGCUGACGAGUGGCGAACGGGUGAGUAAUGCAUCGGAACGUGCCCAGUCGUGGGGGAUAACGCAGCGAAAGCUGCGCUAAUACCGCAUACGAUCUAAGGAUGAAAGCGGGGGACCGAAAGGCCUCGCGCGAUUGGAGCGGCCGAUGUCAGAUUAGGUAGUUGGUGGGGUAAAGGCUCACCAAGCCAACGAUCUGUAGCUGGUCUGAGAGGACGACCAGCCACACUGGAACUGAGACACGGUCCAGACUCCUACGGGAGGCAGCAGUGGGGAAUUUUGGACAAUGGGCGCAAGCCUGAUCCAGCAAUGCCGCGUGCAGGAAGAAGGCCUUCGGGUUGUAAACUGCUUUUGUACGGAACGAAACGGCGAGCUCUAAUACAGUUUGCUAAUGACGGUAC